CUGCCUCCUUCAGCAACAUGUAAACUAAAAGUGGAACAAUACAGAGAAGAUAGGCAUGGCCACUGCACAAGGGUGACAUGCAAAUUUGUGAAGCAUUUCAUAUUUUU
Molecule: small nuclear RNA, 107 nt
Filed under: Pongo abelii (Sumatran orangutan)
Lineage: Eukaryota; Metazoa; Chordata; Mammalia; Primates; Hominidae
Source: RNAcentral